AGUGUAGCUCAAUUGGUAGAGCACCGGUCUCCAAAACCGGGGGCUGGGGGUUCGAGCCCCUCCACU
This 66-nucleotide transfer RNA is filed under the name marine eukaryotic metagenome. It matches the Rfam family "tRNA". Rfam says of the family: Transfer RNA (tRNA) molecules are approximately 80 nucleotides in length. The record is from RNAcentral.